This 354-nucleotide ribosomal RNA is filed under the name Triticum aestivum (bread wheat). RNAcentral describes it as "partial small subunit ribosomal RNA". The record is from RNAcentral. Lineage: Eukaryota; Viridiplantae; Streptophyta; Magnoliopsida; Poales; Poaceae.
AUGUGGAGGACAGUGGGAUGUGUGCUAGGCACGGAUCGAUGCCCUAGCAACAUGUGGCAAUAUUUUGCUUGGUGUUAUGUUUUCCUUCCUGAUGGGGAGAAAUUCUAUACGUUUGGCCUCGCGGCUCUUUGCUGGGCCAUGUGGAAUAGUCGUAAUAAGAAAACUUUUGAAUUCAAAAAGAUGAGAUCUCCUUUUGACGUGGUAUACACUGCUUGUGGUUUUAUUUCCUACUAGGUAGGGAUGCUGAUGGGCGACGAUCGGGAGGCAAUGGAGCGCGGGUCAAAAAUGUUGAGGAGCAACGCGUCAAACAUGAUGAGGAUCUGUGCGGCACCCAACAACCCGAUGCAGAGUUGA